UACGGGGGGGGCAAGCGUUGUUCGGAAUUACUGGGCGUAAAGGGCUCGUAGGCGGCCAACUAAGUCGGACGUGAAAUCCCUCGGCUUAACCGGGGAACUGCGUCUGAUACUGGAUGGCUUGAAUCCGGGAGAGGGAUGCGGAAUUCCAGGUGUAGCGGUGAAAUGCGUAGAUAUCUGGAGGAACACCGGUUGCGAAGGCGGCCACCUGGACCGGCACUGACGCUGAGGUGCGAAAGCGUGGGGAGCAAACAGG
This 253-nucleotide ribosomal RNA is filed under the name uncultured bacterium. RNAcentral's name for it is "partial 16S ribosomal RNA". It matches the Rfam family "Bacterial small subunit ribosomal RNA", at positions 524 to 776 of the family's 1533-position model. The record is from RNAcentral.